UGAAGCGGGAAGAGCUCAAAUUUCCAAUCUGGUAGGCUACGCUUGUCCGAAUUGUAAUCUCGAGAAGUGUUUUCCGCGUUGGCCUGUGUACAAGUCCCUUGGAACAGGGCGUCAUAGAGGGUGAGAAUCCCGUCCUUGACACAGACACCCAAUGCUUUGUGAUACACUCUCAAUGAGUCGAGUUGUUUGGGAAUGCAGCUCAAAAUGGGUGGUAAAUUCCAUCUAAAGCUAAAUACUGGCGAGAGACCGAUAGCGAACAAGUACCGUGAGGGAAAGAUGAAAAGCACUUUGGAAAGAGAGUCAAACAGUACGUGAAAUUGUUGAAAGGGAAACGAUUGAAGUCAGUCGUGCCUGCCUAGAUUCAGCCUUCUGGUGUAUUUCUAGGUCGGCAGGUCAGCAUCAGUUUGGGGGGGUUAACAAGGGAGCUGGGAAUGUGGCAACCUCGGUUGUGUUAUAGCCCAGUUUCGCAUUGAUCUCGCUGGACUGAGGAACGCAGUGCGCCCGCAAGGGUUGGUCUUCGGACACAUUCGCACUUAGGAUGCUGGCAUAAUGGCUUUAAACGAC
RNAcentral lists this ribosomal RNA (564 nucleotides) under Cystofilobasidium infirmominiatum. RNAcentral's name for it is "eukaryotic LSU rRNA". It matches the Rfam family "Eukaryotic large subunit ribosomal RNA", at positions 94 to 648 of the family's 3401-position model. The record is from RNAcentral. Lineage: Eukaryota; Fungi; Basidiomycota; Tremellomycetes; Cystofilobasidiales; Cystofilobasidiaceae.